Molecule: ribosomal RNA, 505 nt
Filed under: uncultured bacterium
Lineage: Bacteria
Description: bacterial SSU rRNA
Rfam family: Bacterial small subunit ribosomal RNA
Source: RNAcentral
GACAAAGUGACAGGUGGUGCAUGGUUGUCGUCAGCUCGUGUCGUGAGAUGUUGGGUUAAGUCCCGCAACGAGCGCAACCCUUAAGCUUAGUUGCCAGCAUUAAGUUGGGCACUCUAAGUUGACUGCCGGUGACAAACCGGAGGAAGGUGGGGAUGACGUCAAAUCAUCAUGCCCCUUAUGAUUUGGGCUACACACGUGCUACAAUGGACAAUACAAAGGGCAGCUAAACCGCGAGGUCAUGCAAAUCCCAUAAAGUUGUUCUCAGUUCGGAUUGUAGUCUGCAACUCGACUACAUGAAGCUGGAAUCGCUAGUAAUCGUAGAUCAGCAUGCUACGGUGAAUACGUUCCCGGGUCUUGUACACACCGCCCGUCACACCACGAGAGUCUGUAACACCCGAAGCCGGUGGAGUAACCAUUUAUGGAGCUAGCCGUCGAAGGUGGGACAAAUGAUUGGGGUGAAGUCGUAACAAGGUAGCCGUAUCGGAAGGUGCGGCUGGAUCACCUC